This 329-nucleotide unclassified non-coding RNA is filed under the name soil metagenome. Its description in RNAcentral is "partial contains 5.8S ribosomal RNA, internal transcribed spacer 2, and large subunit ribosomal RNA". The stretch from base 1 to 120 matches the Rfam family "5.8S ribosomal RNA", at positions 35 to 154 of the family's 154-position model. The record is from RNAcentral.
GAUGAAGAACGCAGCGAAAUGCGAUAAGUAAUGUGAAUUGCAGAAUUCAGUGAAUCAUCGAAUCUUUGAACGCACAUUGCCCCCCCUGGUAUUCCGGGGGGCAUGCCUGUCCGAGCGUCAUUACAACCCUCAAGCUCAGCUUGGUGUUGGGCCCCGCCGCCCCGGCGGGCCCUAAAGUCAGUGGCGGUGCCGUCCGGCUCCGAGCGUAGUAAUUCUUCUCGCUCUGGAGGUCCGGUCGUGUGCUCGCCAGCAACCCCCAAUUUUUUUCAGGUUGACCUCGGAUCAGGUAGGGAUACCCGCUGAACUUAAGCAUAUCAAUAAGCGGAGGA